RNAcentral lists this transfer RNA (69 nucleotides) under Marmota marmota marmota (Alpine marmot). It matches the Rfam family "tRNA". Rfam says of the family: Transfer RNA (tRNA) molecules are approximately 80 nucleotides in length. Their secondary structure includes four short double-helical elements and three loops (D, anti-codon, and T loops). Further hydrogen bonds mediate the characteristic L-shaped molecular structure. tRNAs have two regions of fundamental functional importance: the anti-codon, which is responsible for specific mRNA codon recognition, and the 3' end, to which the tRNAs corresponding amino acid is attached (by aminoacyl-tRNA synthetases). tRNAs cope with the degeneracy of the genetic code in two manners: having more than one tRNA (with a specific anti-codon) for a particular amino acid; and 'wobble' base-pairing, i.e. permitting non-standard base-pairing at the 3rd anti-codon position. The record is from Rfam by way of RNAcentral. RNAcentral also lists the same sequence under 1 other name. Lineage: Eukaryota; Metazoa; Chordata; Mammalia; Rodentia; Sciuridae.
GGAGUUGUGGCUCAGUGGUAGAGUGCUUUCCUAGCAUGGAUGAGGCACUGGGUUUGAUUCUCAGCACCA